RNAcentral lists this long non-coding RNA (1427 nucleotides) under Sus scrofa (pig). RNAcentral describes it as "lncRNA (ENSSSCG00015006465.1)". The record is from RNAcentral. Lineage: Eukaryota; Metazoa; Chordata; Mammalia; Artiodactyla; Suidae.
UGGUUAUAGUGAGACCUUAUGCUUAAGGAGUCAAGGAAGUCAUAUUUUAGACUACAGAGUUAAGGUUUUUAAAAGAGUUUUGAGGGAGUUCCUGUUGUGGUUCAGUGGUACUGGUAUCCAUCAUAUCCACACCACUGCUAUCCAUGUGGGUGCAGAUUUGAUCCCUGGCCUUGCUCAGUUAAGGAUCCGGCAUUGCCACAAGCUGCAGUGUAGGUUGCAAAUGUGGCUCUGGUCUGGCAUUGCUGUGACUAUGGCAUAGGCCAUCAGCUGCAUCUCCAGUUCAACUCUUAGCCUGGGAAUGAACUUCCAUGUUCUGUAAAUACAGCCCUAAAAAAAAAAAAAAAAAAAAAAAAAAAAAGUUUUGGUAAUCAAAAGCAAAUUUUCAGUUAUUUGGGAAAAUUGUCUAUUCAUGAAUUCAAGAUGGUUCUUUUUGUGUGUGUGUGUUUUUGUCUUUUUAGGGCUGCACCCGCAGCUCAUGGAGGUUCCCAGGCUAGGGGUUGAAUUGGAGCUGUAGCUGCUGGCCUACAGAGCCACAGCAAUACCAGAUCUGAACCGUGUCUUCGACCCACACCACAGCUCAUGGCAAUGCCAGAUCCUUAACCCACUGAGCAAGGCCAGGGAUUGAACCCACAUCCUCAUGGAUGCUAGCUGGGUUUAUUAACCACUGAGCCACGAUGGGAACUCCUCAAGAUGGUUCUUAUAAAGGUUCUGCAUUACCAUGGUUUCAUUGCAGUUUAGGUCUGUAGAGGUGUUAGUUAAUAUAGAGUUCAGGUUGAAAAAAUAUCUGACAUAUCAGCUUUGGCUGAGACUGCUUCAUUUCACAAGUUAUUUAAUUCUGGGUUUGAACGAAGUCUUUGGAAGUGACACUUUUCAUAUCUUUAUUGUCAUGAUGCUAUUCUUGAUAAGGAAUGAGUUCUUGACUAUUUAAAAAUAUCAUAGGUGAUAAAAUGCCCUUAAUAAAUACAUUAUAAGUUUGGCUUUCACAUUUUUAACUUUAAUUUUCAUGCUUGUCUCUUAAAUGCAAAUAAAUCUUCAUCUAGGCAUAAGGUGCCCCCUAAAGUUACUUAGUUGUCUGAAUUGUAUGUCUUUACUUCCUCCUGAUGGGAAUAAGAAUGAAUGAAAUACUGUUUGACCACUUUGGAAAGUGCUCAUGCUCUAUGUUUAUCACAUGAUUUGGGAGAUGACAUUCUUUUCUGGAACUGCAUCAUUCGUACAUGCCAGAGCAUCUUUUGUCUCCCUAGAGAAUAUGUUUAUACUGUAGCAUUUAAUAUCAUAAAUGUGUUUUCGUCCUGCCACGCCACCUACCAGAGAUAUUUGUAAAGAGUGAACUGACAGACUGAUGCAAUUUUGAGGAAAUCAUUCAUUUCCUGUUAUGAUUUUUCCAUAGUGCUGCUUUUUAAUUGUUUAAAAUUGUUUAAAAUUGUUUU